RNAcentral lists this ribosomal RNA (454 nucleotides) under uncultured bacterium. Its description in RNAcentral is "partial 16S ribosomal RNA". It matches the Rfam family "Bacterial small subunit ribosomal RNA", at positions 28 to 507 of the family's 1533-position model. The record is from RNAcentral.
GAUGAACGCUGACAGAAUGCUUAACACAUGCAAGUCAACUUGAACUUCGGUUUGGGUGGCGGACGGGUGAGUAACGCGUAAAGAACUUGCCUCACAGAUAGGGACAACAUUUGGAACCGAAUGCUAAUACCUGAUAUUAUGAUUAUAUGGCAUCGUAUAAUUAUGAAAGCUAUAUGCGCUGUGAGAGAGCUUUGCGUCCCAUUAGCUAGUUGGAGAGGUAACGGCUCACCAAGGCGAUGAUGGGUAGCCGGCCUGAGAGGGUGAUCGGCCACAAGGGGACUGAGACACGGCCCUUACUCCUACGGGAGGCAGCAGUGGGGAAUAUUGGACAAUGGACCAAGAGUCUGAUCCAGCAAUUCUGUGUGCACGAUGAAGUUUUUCGGAAUGUAAAGUGCUUUCAGUUGGGAAGAAAAAAAUGACGGUACCAACAGAAGAAGUGACGGCUAAAUACGUG